This is an RNA transcript of Rhinolophus ferrumequinum (greater horseshoe bat), 4850 nucleotides long. It is a transcript of the gene named coiled-coil domain containing 25, with no coding region annotated. Lineage: Eukaryota; Metazoa; Chordata; Mammalia; Chiroptera; Rhinolophidae. The transcript has 12 exons. The record is from RefSeq and is a predicted model, not a curated record.
GUAUCCAAACUUCGACAGUUGGUUGCUGCUGCUCCACGCUGGAGUCGCUGCGCCGCCGCCGGGAUCAUGGUGUUCUACUUCACCAGCAGCAGCGUUAACUCAUCUGCUUACACUAUUUACAUGGGAAAAGAUAAAUAUGAAAAUGAGGAUCUAAUAAAGUAUGGCUGGCCUGAAGAUAUUUGGUUUCAUGUGGACAAACUCUCUUCGGCUCAUGUAUAUCUUCGAUUACAUAAGAUAUGUGGGACCUUGGUCCAGUUACUUACCCUCGCUAAGCUUCAUUUUCUUCAUUGGUAAAGUGAGGAUAAUACUAUCCAUUUCAUAUGGCCGUUUACUUAGUACCUGGCAUGUGGGGGAGAAGAUAGAAGACAUUCCAAAGGAAGUCCUGAUGGACUGUGCGCAUCUUGUGAAGGCCAACAGCAUUCAAGGCUGCAAGAUGAACAACGUUAAUGUGGUAUAUACACCGUGGUCUAACCUGAAGAAAACACCCGACAUGGAUGUGGGGCAGAUUGGCUUUCACAGGCAGAAGGACGUGAGUAUUGUGACAGUGGAGAAGAAAGUGAAUGAGAUUUUGAACCGAUUAGAAAAGACCAAAAUGGAGCGGUUCCCGGACCUAGCAGCAGAGAAGGAAUGCAGAGACCGUGAGGAGAGGAAUGAGAAAAAAGCCCAAAUUCAGGAAAUGAAAAAGAAAGAAAAGGAAGAGAUGAAGAAGAAGAGGGAAAUGGAUGAACUUAGGAGCUAUUCAUCACUAAUGAAAGUUGAGAAUAUGUCUUCAAAUCAGGAUGGCAAUGAUUCAGAUGAAUUCAUGUGAAUGGAGAAAAGGACCUUUUAAAGAUGUGAAUUUAGGGACAGUUGCAGACGUUUUGAUUUCAUCUAUGUUCUGAGUUAUAAAAAACAAAACAAAACAAAUAUCUACUCGAGAGUUUUUAAAAAUAUUGUUCCCUUUUAUGCUGACAGAGAGGAUCUCAUAUAUAUAUAUAUACAUAUAUAUAUAUAUAUACACACACACAUAUAUAUAUAUAGAAUAAUAGUUGGACUUGAAGACAGCAUAUAACUUCAGGAAAGUGAAAAUAUUUUUGCCAGAACAUGACAUGUCUUCAUACCUCCUGAAAGCUGGCUGCCCUUGUUCUUGGGAUGGACUUUAGAAUGAACCAACUCUGAAAACUAUUUCUGGUACUGUAGUCUGUCUCUGAAAACAGAUGUCUUGAAAAGCUUUUUAUAUUCUUAAAAUAGCUUCACUUCCGUUAAGAAGAAUGUAUUGGUGAGCAAUAUGUAGCAGUGUUCCCCUCACCCUCGAUUUCCUGAUUAGCAUAAAAGCGUAUGGGUUUUGAAGAUGAUAGUGAUAUUUUCAGAAAAUUGGCUGGCUUCAAUAUUCAUGUUCCACUGUGUUGUCAGAGUCGAUUAGCAGAGUUGUCCUCGGCUCUCAGCUUGCCCUGGCUUCUACAUUCUCUGUCCUUACUUUUGCUGAGUGAGGCCCUCCACCUAGUUCCCAUCAUACUUCAAGAAAUAGUCGGUAUUAAUCAAGCAAGGUUGGGCCUUGUGGCAGUUUUUACCUGAGCACCAGAUAACCCAGGUCUCGUACAUUAUAAUUCCAAGGCCUGGACUCAUUUCUCAGCACUGAGGGGAGAAACAGGAAGGGCUGCUCUGUGAAUCAUUUGGAAGAUGUAGGUUACCUAAUCUUCAUCUUGGAAUACAGCAUGAAGCAAACGUUCACGUUGUAAUUAUGAUUUUAGAAAGAAAUAAGCAUUUCAUUAGCCAGCCAAGUCAUUUGUUUAUUUACUUUGAAAGAAUAUUUAUUUUGAGUUGUAACCACAGAGUUCAGAUUUCUGAAUUGUAGACUCAGUAACUUAAUAUGUAUAAUAACAGUACUACUCAUUCAAACUACCUGCUCUCCAGUGUGUUUCUGAAUAGAAAAUAUAUUUUUAUUGAAGCAUGUAAGGCAACCCCUUGUAGAAAGAGACAAAAACCAAACAAUGAAAGGGAAAGAGAACAAAGCCUCCAGGUCAGGAGGCAUACAAAUUCACAUUUUAACCACACCCAGAACUGUAUAUGCAGCAUUCUUCUUCUAAGCCAGCAAAAAUUAUCUCCAACAAAUAUUCUAUCUGUAAUAGCACUUUGGGACUGUGGGUAAAACCGAAAGACUUCAGUGUUUCUAUUUAUCCCAAGUUGGUGUAUGGGGUUGAACUGGAAAAUUCCCUGAGGCAUAACUUGGCCAAAUUUUGAGAUGGAAUAUGGGAGACAACUCAAGAAAUUAGUGAGAGAGAAUUUCUAAUGAUGUUCAGCCUGCAGUUCUAUGAUUUAAAAAUGUAAUAAUAAAGAAUCAUUUUUUGUUAGGAAGGACAUUGAUACAUAAAUUCUUAGAAUUUGCUUUGCUCCAAGAGCUGGUUUUGACGGGGGCUGUGGCUGUAAAAACCUUCGUCUGUCAUAGGCUCGAUCUGGCAGGUUCUACAGGGGUAUGAACUCCUCCCUCACUGAUAAACACGUCUCUCCCCCAGGCGCCCCCUAAGAAGUGGACAGCCUUUCCCAGACACACUGUUGAGGGAGGGUAAGUUAGUUGCCCUGCCCUCCUGCCUGGUUACUGCCGGCGCUUCUUUGCUCUGCUGCAAACAUCUAAACAGGAGAUUUUGCCUCUAGCAGCACCUGUGCACCUCAGCUUUCUACUUUCUGAAGGACUCCUCUGUAUCCCACAUAACAUCACAUAUAGAUAGUUUUUGAAGACUAUGUCUAUUUUUACUGUAGUGUGAGAGAUCCUGGGGUCCAAAUUUUAAAUGUUUCAUAACUCACAAUUUCUGCUGGUUUAAAAUGCCAAGGACUCCUGAAUUCUCUGAGUUGAAUUCCAAGCUCUUGAACCUUUUCAGCUGCUCCGUGCUGAUUUCUUCCUACCACUGCUUGUGUGUUGUGUAGUUUUUUCCCCACAGCUCUCUUGGUCCCAGCGAAAGUAGGGGCCUUUUCUUUUGAGGGCAUUGGUUCAGUGGCAACAGGUCAGACUGUUGGCACAGACGUCAUUUCAUUUCCUGCUGUUGGCAUGCUUCCUAAACCUCCUAUAGAAAAAUUCCAAAUUAUUGGGAUUUUUAUGAGCUGUGCCCUUGAUCACUGAAUUCAUGCAUCCUGAGGAAUUCUCUUUUCAACUCUGCCUCCAGUUUCCCCACUUUGUUUGAUCUGCAUGCAGGUGAGGUUCCAUUAUCAUUGAAUUUACUUCACAGACUCUGCCCUGUUCUAUUCCUAUAGUUUUAGAAUUCGUUUCUUACCCACCUUUGUUUAUAUAGAGUCCCGAUCUUUGGGCAAGGGAGCCAUGUAACAGUGCUUGUGCUGGAACAGAUGUUGGGAAGUUUACCAAAGUGUGGAAGGUUUGUACAUUAACAGAAGGUGACAGGCUUUAGUUGAACCCUUUCCUUAUCUUCUGUUUGUUGUAUUUUUUAACUUUCUUGAAGCGUGGACUUGGGUGAACCUUUUAACUCUUUAGUGCUGAUGGUUUCCCCCAUUCACGAAGGAAGGGGUCCACACAGACAAAAAGAUUAGAGAGGGAGAGUUCAGCUCUAGCCUCCAGUUUAAGAACAAAGCUCUUCCUCCCACUUUUGCAUCUGUCUGAGAGGGGAAGCUCUUGUUUUCCAGGCUGGAACAGAUUAUGGGAAAAACUGAGCAGGAGGGAGCAAUGGAACACUUGUCCAGUUUUUCUUGAGCUGUAAUAUUGAAGCCUGCUUUUUCUGUUUGAAGUACUGCAUUGUGAAGAAUAAAUCCUAUACUCAGAAUGAUUACAGUAGAGUGAGUGGGUAACCUUUUGAUUUUCAAGUAAACUGUAAAACAAACUGGAAACAAAAGUGGAAAAUUAGAAAUUUAAACUCCAAGCUAAAUGUCAGCCUCAACCUGUCAUAACUCCAGCAAGUAUGUGACAGCUCAGAAAUGGGGACAGCGCUGGGCCCACAGGCUCUUCUUCGCCAGGCUCUCGGUACAGCACCAGGCAAGAGACUUAUGUGCAUCACAUCAUUUUACAAAGGAGACGAUGCCAACCGCAUAUUCAUCGUGUCCUGGAUGGAUGGUGGUUGUUCUUUAUCUGGACUCAGUGAGCUUGGAGAUUCUGCCUCAUGGCCUGGAUGUACCAGUGGCUCAGCGAAGCAGCCAUGAUGGGAGAGGAUCUUCUCUCUGCCUUUGUGCUCUGGGCCAUUUCAUCCAAGAGAAAAUGCACAGCCCCUCCCCAGAUAUCACACCUGUGUGCUGGGGCUUAGAGAAAGAAUCAGCUUCUAGCUUUUCUUUGCAGGCAUUUUGCACAGGUUUCAUCGACGCAGAGAAUUUUGUAGAAUCGUAGCCUGUGGAGGUUGGAAGGUUCCUGAGAGAUCAUCUAAGCUGAUGGUACUCUUCUGGGCCCUUUACACCAUCCUGAAACAAUGCACCCAGAGACGGAAAGCUCAUUACUUUAUAAAGACAUUUGGCGAUUAGAAAGUUACUUUAUUGAGCCAAAGUCAGCCUCACGGUGACUUCUACCCAUUAUUUUGUCUUCUGGACAUGGGGCUCAAAAGUUUGGAAGACAGCUGUCAAUUGCCACCUGUGACUGCUCCCAAACACCCCAUUAGCAGGAAAAGCAGGCAUCUGAGGACAGAAGAUGGCUCCUUACGCAUGGGUCCAGUCCCCCUACUUCUCCUGUUUGCCUAACUCCCAAGGAAUGAGCAGCUCCCCAGCUGUGCACGACCCCAGCGGCUCACACAAGGCAGCGUAGAGACCAGUCUCCACAUGGAGCCUAGAUCACCUGACUUUUUGAGUUUUUUGUUUUGUUUUCUUUUGGUUUUUUGUUUUUUUGGACUAGGGAACUUCAGAUUUUUUUUCUUUAAUUUUUUUUUUCACUGUGAAGUAAAAAAAAA